RNAcentral lists this ribosomal RNA (253 nucleotides) under uncultured bacterium. Its description in RNAcentral is "partial 16S ribosomal RNA". It matches the Rfam family "Bacterial small subunit ribosomal RNA", at positions 524 to 776 of the family's 1533-position model. The record is from RNAcentral.
GACGGAGGGUGCUAGCGUUGUUCGGAAUUACUGGGCGUAAAGGGCGCGUAGGCGGCUUGUUAAGUCGGGUGUGAAAGCCCGGGGCUCAACCCCGGAACGGCAUCCGAGACUGGCGAGCUAGAGACCGGGAGAGGAGAGUGGAAUACCCAGUGUAGAGGUGAAAUUCGUAGAUAUUGGGUGGAACACCGGUGGCGAAAGCGGCUCUCUGGCCCGGUUCUGACGCUGAGGCGCGAAAGCGUGGGGAGCAAACAGG